This 506-nucleotide ribosomal RNA is filed under the name uncultured bacterium. RNAcentral describes it as "bacterial SSU rRNA". It matches the Rfam family "Bacterial small subunit ribosomal RNA", at positions 1 to 507 of the family's 1533-position model. The record is from RNAcentral.
AGUCACGAGUUUGAUCCUGGCUCAGAUUGAACGCUGGCGGUAGGCCUAACACAUGCAAGUCGAACGCGAAAGUCCUUCGGGAUGAGUAGAGUGGCGGACGGGUGAGUAACGCGUAGGAAUCUGUCCUGUAGUGGGGGAUAACGUUUCGAAAGGAACGCUAAUACCGCAUACGCCCUACGGGGGAAAGCGGGGGAUCUUCGGACCUCGCGCUAGAGGAGGAGCCUGCGUCGGAUUAGCUAGUUGGUGAGGUAAAGGCUCACCAAGGCGACGAUCCGUAGCUGGUCUGAGAGGAUGAUCAGCCACACCGGAACUGAGACACGGUCCGGACUCCUACGGGAGGCAGCAGUGGGGAAUAUUGCGCAAUGGGCGAAAGCCUGACGCAGCCAUACCGCGUGUGUGAAGAAGGCCUUCGGGUUGUAAAGCACUUUCAGUGGGGAGGAAAAGCUGGCGGCUAAUAUCCGCCGGCCGUGACGCUACCCACAGAAGAAGCACCGGCUAAUUCCGUG